CCGGCUAUAAAUUUAAUCGCGAAAGCGAACUUUAUUAAGUCACCCUGUAGCUGCAUUGGUAGCAGUGUCGUAUCAUCGUAACAACAUGAUACGAUCAACGUGGUUAUUAACUUGACUGCACUGAAGCUACACAACAUCUUACAAAUACUGAUAUGGACUUUGAAGGACGACGCCAGUUUAUCUGGAGGGUCUUCAUCAUGGAAUAACAAUGCAGCAGGAUGGCUUCAACUAGGACUGGCAAAAAAAAUAUUUUCAAUUAUCAAUAGAAAAAUUAAAAAAAAAAAGUCAUGAGCUUUUCUCAUCUAUAUUUGGCCGAGGUUUUCAAGAGGUAUCUGGGUGAUGAUUCCAAGACGUUGUUUCGAAAAAGACCGUUCAACAUAAUGGAAGCUAGAUCCUUGAAGUUCAUUUGGGUCUAAAAUGUAUGCUGAAAAUGGGUGGUCAGCGUUCCAUCACCAUACGGGAUGCAAUCUCCUUCACGAUAAAGGCAUAUUACUUUGGUGUGAGCCCUUCCAUUGUAUAUAGCCGCUGCCUUCAAGACGUAUAUUGGUAAAGCACAAGCAGAAUCGAUCUACUGGAAGCAGAAUCCUUGAAGUUUAUUGGAAAUCUGUGGUAUGCUGUAACCUUCGACAUACAAGAUGCAAGUGCUUCAGAAGAGGGAUGACAAAUCUUUGGUAUACGGGAAGCCGAACAAAUAUAUUUAGACAAAGCUCGAGACAGAAUCCUGAACAAAGACUGCAUUAAAAUUGCGAUGCAGAAUUUAUGCAGAAGCAAUUCUAGAUAUAAGUAGUUCAAUUUAAACGUCUUGAUUAAGAUACUGGAGCUGGCACCAAAAGCUGUCUAAAAGAAUCAAAAUCUCAAAUUCAUACAUCUUAACUGAGUCGUUCGAAGGAAUAAGGAUAAACAAUCUUUCCCUUCACAGGAAGCUGAAACGAUGGAGCGAAUAUUUGUAAUUGAUUUUAGAAGAAUUUGAGUGUCUUGAAGAAAAACUGAAAUAGGAUACCGAAGUCUCAGAAGAGGAAUGCUUGCAUACGAUAAAAUGAACUUGCAAGGUUCCAAGAGAUGGACAAUCCUUUGAUCCAGGAAACGGAAUCCUUCGAAUGGAUUGGCAAAAGUUUCCAGAGAAGAUUUUCCUGAUAAGAAUUUAAGUGAAGAAACCUUCAGACUCUAGUUGAUACGAAUAUAAGAUGUCUCAGAAGAUGAAGAUGAGAUUUUCGAUUUAUGUACAUACAUAAAUUAGAUUGUAAUAAAUUAAUCCAAAAGGAUGGACCAUCCUUUGAGGCGCAGAAUGUAGAAUCCCUUGCACAAUACGAUGUGAUGAAUCUAAGAAGUUCAAAGAGAAUGAGAAUGAUCAACCUAUUACCAGAAAAAUAUCAGAAGUCUAAUUAUUAUGAUUGUGUUUUAAACUACCAUAAGUGUUCAUGAGGUAACGGGUUGACUUUCCAUAACGGUCCUGGUUGUGGAUAUGUCUUCUUCAGGUAUGCGAACCUGCCUACGUGAGCCACUUUUUUCUGAAUCCUUGAGCUACGAAAAAAGUGUCCUUAACCCUCUCAUCCCUUCUCUUCAUCAUCCCUCUUUUUCCUUACCCCCUCGUGAUGACAAGAAGAAAGCAACUGGCGUUUUGAAGAUGGAAUGGAAGUUCGAAUUAAUACCUCAACCAAGGUUGUACUGACCGGUGUUCCUUGACGUAGGUCCCCAAACAAGCAGAAAUUGAAGAUGGUUUGGCUCGAUGACGUCUGUAAUUGGGUGUAAAUGAAUGAACGCUCAUUCAUUUUUGCUCGAUGAAGACACUGACAAGUUGCCGGGACAAACACUCCUAGAUCUACCCUGUUGGUUUAAAGGGUUGACUAACCAGAGUAGAACCCACUGUAUGAUUUUGGUUCCAAUGUUAAUUGCUACUUUUUCAUUUUUGAUGCCGAUUAUUUUUUCUUGAAAUCCUUUCAAGGUUAUGGCGCACCGGAAUUUCGAAAGAGCUGUACAGGUUUUAUCGAUCUUCCCUCGAGACCUCGAGAUCUGAUUUGAAGCGUUCCCAUAAAUUCGAAACUAAUCAACUUGAAUUAUUUGCUAAAUUGACAUAGGUACGUGUUGAAAAAAGAUGAAAAGCGGGAAUUUCGACUGAUUCUGAAAACGAUGGAAAACAUAGGUAAUUUUCAUCGGGCUUUUUCUUCUUGCUACGUUAUUACUUGGUAUUUUUCCGUUUUUGUUGGUUAAUUUUUCGGCCUUUACUUUGGCGUCACAGGUCUUGCGAUCUUACUGAAUUCGAUAAUAUACUCGCGAUCAGGAUUGAACUUGAUUACUUAAGUGAUCUAGAAUGAGGCAGUUCAUUCCUUCGAUUCGUGUCUAAAUUUCUUUUCGGCAUCGCAAGACCACCGAACAGAACCAUGAAUAACUCUAUCCCCUAAUAAAUCGACGAGAGUUAUGUUCAUUGCUGUCCGGUUUGAAAAAUUGAUAUUUGGAUCUACGUGACAAUAAAAAUGGGAAAUUCUCUCUUAAUUUCAGCGGAUAGCCUUUUUAGGUGAUUUGAAGAGCCUGUGAAACUUGCUUCGCAAAAAAAACUAAGUAGGAAUUUUUAGAGAUUUCCGCCGGUUUUUUUCCCGUAUAACUGCCGGAUGUUGAAGUGUCUUUAUCAAACGGGACUUUUAACGAUUCGGAUUUUUUCAGUAAAUUUUUUUCGAAUUUAUGGCUGAUGUGGAUAUGAAGGAAUAUCUCUAUUUUAUCUCAUUUAUUUUUCAUUAUAUUAGAAUAUGUAAUACAAUUUACAAUAUUACUUAUGCAUAUAAAUUACCAAAUUUUUCUUGAAUUAUAAGACUGAAAUCGUGGCUGAAAUAAAUUGUAAGCUGACAAUCAAUAAAAAUUGUAAAAAAAUA
Molecule: long non-coding RNA, 2864 nt
Organism: Harmonia axyridis
Lineage: Eukaryota; Metazoa; Arthropoda; Insecta; Coleoptera; Coccinellidae
Exons: 3
Source: RefSeq, a predicted model, not a curated record